AGCGUAGGUGGCCUAACAUGUCAACUGUGAAAACCCGGAGCUCAACUCCGGACUUGCAGUUGAAACUGGUAGGCUUGAGGACGGUAGAGGAAGACGGAACUGCCAGUGUAGGGGUAAAAUCCUUAGAUAUUGGCAGGAACGCCGAUGACGAAGGUGGUUUUCUGGGCCGGUUCUGACACUGAUGCUCGAAAGCCAGGGGAGCGAACGG
RNAcentral lists this ribosomal RNA (208 nucleotides) under uncultured Mesotoga sp. RNAcentral describes it as "partial 16S ribosomal RNA". It matches the Rfam family "Bacterial small subunit ribosomal RNA", at positions 568 to 775 of the family's 1533-position model. The record is from RNAcentral. Lineage: Bacteria; Thermotogati; Thermotogota; Thermotogae; Kosmotogales; Kosmotogaceae.